CACAAAAGGGCUUUGGAGCAUUGUCUGAACAGCACCCAGAGGGCUGCAGGACAUUUGCCCAAGGGCUGCAGGCACACGUGCCCUUCACAUCUCACAGCCUACACUACAGAAUGUGACCAGCAGUGCAUUUAUUUGUAUAGGAGAAUAGAAAAUAAGUAAAUAAAGGUAGUAUAGAAAGUAAUCUUACCACCUAAGGAGUUGCAGCUGGGUUAAUUAUCAAAGAUUAGGAGCAGGCUGACUUUAACAGGCCAUAGCUGCAGACAAUAAUAAGAAGAGUGCUAUAAGAGUGGGUUGGUUGGGGGAACUGGAGUCAGUUGGCUGCUGUGAGGACAAGGAAGAGUCAGUGCCUAGAGGAGCUGGCUGUGAGAAACAUCAAGGAGAUAUGAAACUCCAGCAAUAUGGAACCCUUGCAAUGUAAUGACAAUAGAACUCUUGUGCUAUAAUGGCAACGCAUUUGUGUUUUGUAUGUUACACUAGUUAUAUCUGUGUGCAGCCUGCAUAGUAGCGCAACAGAUUGAGCUCUGGUUUAUGUCCACUUUGUGAAGACUUUAACAUUCCUCUUUUGACCCUGACAUUUUAAGUCCUGCAGCUAGGAAGCCGAAGUAGAUUUUGCAAGUGUACUUACUUGACUUGCUGCUGUUCUUUCAGUGUCACUGUAACCAGAUACACAAACAUCAAGGCCCAGCCUUCAAGACCCUGUGGAGGUCCCCUAGGCCUCCUCCCUCUGCAAGAGAAGCCGGUGCCUGAAGCUCUGGACCUUCCUACUUGUCAUCCAAAGCGGGAUUUCCAGCCUUGUGAGGAGGGUGGGCAGCUCGUGUCCAGCACAGAGACCAUGUGGGCAGCUGCCAGUGAAAGUGAUCCCUGAAUUGCCUGCAGCUCCUGUCCUGCAGAACCAGCAGCCUCCAGGCUUCCCACACUCAUGUGCCAAUAGAUGCUUUCUUCAGAAGAAAAGAAUUUGGAGAAUGUUGAGGAAGAGGGGAAAAGUGCAGGAGAAACGGAGAGCUGGAUCCUCAUCUAACAGAGGACCUGCAUCUGCUUCUCUGUUGGAUGUAGCGGGUAGUACAAGAAAACCCCCAUAACGCUUUGUCUGUAGUGAAGCAAUGCACCAAAAGACCUGUUUUAAUGCUUCAAAUUCAGCACCCCUGUGAACUCCAAUCUCACACCUGCUCCGUGCGAGAUGGGUUAUGGAGAGUGGAGACAAGCGGGUGCAUCCAGCGGAGCCACUGCUUUGCUCCUCUCCCUGCCUGCAGGACAGGCUCUGGCUGCCUGUGAGCUGGUGUGGCUGCAGACUGGGGCUGUAAAACUGUGCUGUGUGACCUGAUGAUCUCCCUGGAGUUUCCUGGUGUUUCUGUUUUAUGGUCCUUUCACACCUUCCCAGCCUUCCCAGUGCUUGCACGACUGGAAUGCAGCACCAGACUCCAGGCCAAGACAGGUGAAAUGCUUGUAAAGUAACUGGGAAAUGAAAGAUUUUGCUCCCCUCCUCACCCAUUUUGGAUUUCCAUGGGAUUGCUAGCAUGACAGGGUUAUAGUUAUAUUUGAAGGAGCACAAGAUGUGAAUCACUGUGUGUAGGCUGGUAUUUCAAAUGUGACUGACAGUUGCUUUUCAACACUUGAAUAUCAAUAUGGUGCUGGUAGGUAUCUGUGAAUCUUUUCAACUGGCCACAGCAAUGCAGAGAAAGGCAGAUCUCACGUCCACGUUCUACUUGCUUUCUGGUAUCAGGCUCUAACUUCUGGAAUUUAGAACCACUUUUAGUCAUAAUGUCAUUUAAUCGUGUCUUUAUGCUUUCUUCCCCUUUUGUAAAUAAUUGACAUGAGAAAGGAAAAUACUAAAGAGGGUGGUGGUAGAAAAUGAACAGUGAAAAACAGUAAAUGCAAUGUCUGCCCCUUUCUCUACCUAUUUCUGAGUUUAGUUUAUUCAGAGCAUGUGAAGUAGCACAUUGUCUUUUCCAUGCAGGGAGAAACUGUGACUGAAGAUGAUAUAUGUUACCAGUACGAGUCUGAAUUUUUCAAUUUCUUUAAGAGUUAGCCUUGUAAUAAUGCCAGGUGUGAAUCUCAUCCAAGUAUUCAAUAUUUUGCCCU
Molecule: long non-coding RNA, 2079 nt
Filed under: Zonotrichia albicollis (white-throated sparrow)
Lineage: Eukaryota; Metazoa; Chordata; Aves; Passeriformes; Passerellidae
Description: lncRNA (ENSZALG00000016327.1)
Source: RNAcentral